RNAcentral lists this unclassified non-coding RNA (463 nucleotides) under Hevea brasiliensis (rubber tree). The record is from RNAcentral. Lineage: Eukaryota; Viridiplantae; Streptophyta; Magnoliopsida; Malpighiales; Euphorbiaceae.
UCGAAAAUUAAAUUAUAAUUGGACAACUAUUGAUUUUUUCACCCAAUAAAUAAUUGAAUCCCAAUUACAUUCUCAUCAAUUCAAUUAACAUGAUUUGCCGGAAAAUUUAUCAGGGCAAGCUCCCCAAUUCCGUCCUCCGGCAGACCAUUUUCCGGUGGUUUCAGUCUUCUGUUGAAACUCCGGUGACGCCUGUUACUUCGACUGUAUCUAGUGGCAAGAGAAUUCAGUCUCAACUUCACUUUCUUAGAAUCUAUACGCCGCCGUUUUGCUCAUAUACUAAGUCAAAUGCUUCAUUUACUCUAAGAGGGUGUGGUUUUUCAACUCAAGCUGCGUUGGAUAUUCCUGUUGAUGGGAUAAUUGAUAUACCUCUGGCGCAAACUGGUGAAGGCAUUGCGGAAUGUGAACUUAUCAAAUGGUUUGUUCAGGAGGGGGACCAGGUCGAAGAAUUCCAACCUCUUUGUGA